AGAGUUUGAUCCUGGCUCAGGACGAACGCUGGCGGCGUGCUUAACACAUGCAAGUCGAACGGGCUUCUUCGGAAGUUAGUGGCGAACGGGUGAGUAACACGUGGGUGAUCUGCUGCACUUCGGGAUAAGCUUGGGAAACUGGGUCUAAUACCGGAUAUGAUCACAGGCUUCAUGGUUUGUGGUGGAAAGCUUUUGCGGUG
RNAcentral lists this ribosomal RNA (200 nucleotides) under uncultured bacterium. RNAcentral's name for it is "partial 16S ribosomal RNA". It matches the Rfam family "Bacterial small subunit ribosomal RNA", at positions 8 to 220 of the family's 1533-position model. The record is from RNAcentral.